Molecule: ribosomal RNA, 1872 nt
Filed under: human gut metagenome
Description: bacterial LSU rRNA
Rfam family: Bacterial large subunit ribosomal RNA
Source: RNAcentral
UAAAGCAAAGAAGAGCGCAGAGUGAAUGCCUUGGCAUUGAGAGCCGAAGAAGGACGUGGUUAACUGCGAUAAGCAGCGGGGAGUUGUAAGCAAGCAUUGAUCCGCUGAUUUCCGAAUGGAGCAAUCCGCAUGAAGUAGUUCAUGCAUCCAUAUGUAAAUCAAUAGCAUAUGGAGGGGAACCGCCUGAACUGAAACAUCUAAGUAGGGCGAGGAAGAGAAAUCAACCGAGAUUCCGUAAGUAGUGGCGAGCGAACGCGGAAGAGGCCAAACCGAGAGAAGAAAUUCUUUCGGGGUUCGGACUGCAUUUAGCAUUCCUGAUCUUUAGUCGAACAGUCUGGGAAGGCUGACGAGAGAGUGUGAGAGUCACGUAGACGAAAAGGAGAAGGAGCGAGCAGGAUCCAGAGUACCGCGGGGCACGUGAAAUCCCGUGGGAAGAUGGGGGGACCACCCUCCAAGCCUAAAUACUACUCAAUGACCGAUAGCGUAUAGUACUGUGAAGGAACGGUGAAAAGAACCCCGGGAGGGGAGUGAAAAGAACCUGAAACUCUGUGCUUACAAGCACAUAGAGCACGUCAAUGUGUGAUAUGGUACCUUUUGUAGAAUGGUCCGGCGAGUUAUGGUAUGCAGCAUGGUUAAGGACUUGAGGUCUGAAGCCGAAGCGAGAGCGAGUCUGACAAGGGCGAUAAGUUGUAUGCCAUAGACCCGAAACCGGGUGACCUAGCCAUGUCCAGGCUGAAGUGGAGGUAAAACUCCAUGGAGGGCCGAACCGACCUCCGUUGAAAAGGCGGCGGAUGAGAUGUGGCUAGCGGAGAAAUUCCAAUCGAACCCGGAUAUAGCUGGUUCUCCCCGAAAUAGCUUUAGGGCUAGCGUUGUAUUAGAUUACCGGAGGUAAAGCACUGAAUGGGCUAGGGGCUGAGAAGUUACUGAACCCUAUCAAACUAAGAAUGCCGGAUAAUUGAUGUACAGCAGUCAGACUAUGUGAGAUAAGUCUCAUAGUCAAAAGGGAAACAGCCCAGACCCACAGCUAAGGUCCCAAAAUGGAUUUAAGUGGAAAAGGAUGUGGAAUUGCACAGACAACCAGGAUGUUGGCUUAGAAGCAGCCACUCAUUAAAAGAGUGCGUAAUAGCUCACUGGUCGAGUGACUCUGCGCCGAAAAUUUAACGGGGCUAAACUAUACACCGAAGCUUGGGAUACAUCUAAUGUAUGGUAGGAGAGCGUUCUGUAUGGGGAGAAGUCGUAGCGAAAGCGGCGGUGGACUAUACAGAAGUGAGAAUGCCGGAAUAAGUAGCGAGAAUUAAGUGAGAAUCUUAAUGGCCGAAAGUCUAAGGUUUUUGGAGGAAGGUUCGUCCGCUCCAAGUAAGUCGGGAGCUAAGGUCAGGCCGAAAGGCGUAGCCGAUGCACAUACGGUUGAUAUUCCGUAACCAUCUGUAAUUUAAGCAAAGGGACACUUCAAAAGGGUGUGACCCGGGCGUUGGUUGACCCGGGCGUAAGGGACCGAAAUUAGAGUAGGGAAGCACACUUAGCUGAAGGCGAGAAAAGCUUUGCGUAUAGAAGCAGAUGCCCGUACCGCAAACCGACACAGGUGGACAGGAAGAGAAUUCUAAGGCCAGCGGGAGAAGGGUAGUUAAGGAACUCGGCAAAUUGACUCCGUAACUUCGGAAUAAGGAGUGCUCGAAAGAGCCGCAGAGAAUAGGCCCAGGCGACUGUUUAGCAAAAACACAGGUCUCUGCCAAAUCGAAAGAUGAAGUAUAGGGGCUGACACCUGCCCGGUGCCGGAAGGUUAAGAGGAGGAGUGAGAGCUCCGAAUUGAAGCCCCGGUAAACGGCGGCCGUAACUAUAACGGUCCUAAGGUAGCGAAAUUCCUUGUCGGGU